CCUAGAGUUGCGGGCUUUGCCUGCUAUCUCUUACCCAUGUCUUUAAGUACCUUUGUUUCCUCGGCGGGUUCGCCCGCCGUUAGGACAAUUCAAAACCUUUUGCAGUUGCAAUCAGCGUCUGAAAAACUUUAAUAGUUA
RNAcentral lists this unclassified non-coding RNA (138 nucleotides) under uncultured Ascomycota. Its description in RNAcentral is "sequence contains ITS1". Lineage: Eukaryota; Fungi; Ascomycota. The record is from RNAcentral.